This 235-nucleotide ribosomal RNA is filed under the name uncultured bacterium. Its description in RNAcentral is "partial 16S ribosomal RNA". It matches the Rfam family "Bacterial small subunit ribosomal RNA", at positions 99 to 334 of the family's 1533-position model. The record is from RNAcentral.
CGCACGGGUGAGUAACACGUAUCCAACCUGCCGUCUACUCUUGGACAGCCUUCUGAAAGGAGGAUUAAUACAAGAUGGCAUCAUGAGUUCACAUGUUCACAUGAUUAAAGGUAUUCCGGUAGACGAUGGGGAUGCGUUCCAUUAGAUAGUAGGCGGGGUAACGGCCCACCUAGUCUUCGAUGGAUAGGGGUUCUGAGAGGAAGGUCCCCCACAUUGGAACUGAGACACGGUCCAA